UUCUGGGUAGGCCUGAACUGCCAUCCUGUUAUAAAUCCUUCCCACAAAGCACUGGAGACUGGUGCUCGCGCUGUGCCAAGAAGUCUUUCUCUGACCAUCUGUAAUCCAUUCAGAGGCAACUGGCAGGAAAUGGCAGCAAGGAAAACCCCAGCGCCACGCAACUGGUGGGACCACCUCUCCUCGAGCUCCCGGCCGGCAACAGGAAGUGGGCCCUUCUCGGGACACAGAACAUCUGUGGGGGUUCUGGAAGCUGCUGGGUGGCUGUCAGGGGGCUCCACAGGCCCGAGACAGAUGCUCACAAAAUUUGGUUCAAUUAGAUCACAAUUUCAAGUAGUUCAAAUCCGCUCGCUGUGGCUCCCCCUCCAAUCUGGCAUUGUCAGCUGCUUCUUCCUAUUAGUGACGGUCUCACUUUUUGGCACUAAAAACAGAGGCCCUCAACGCAUUGCAGUGGUGAGCUGGGUCCAGCAUGGACGCGUGCAAGAGCCCAUUGUUAAAUUUUCAGGAAUAUGCAAGGAAGUCACUCUCGUCACCAAAGAUCCAGUGAAGUUCCAACACGCGUCUUUGUUCUUUCACUUUCAUCUUACCCACUGAUUUACAUGAAAAUAUCAACCAACAUACUUAUAUCGGAGCUAUACUUGUUUGUCAAGUUCGAUUUCAGGUUGGCCAGAUCCCAGAGUUUGGCAAAAAUCAACAAAAGCAUUCUGUUAGAAUAA
Long non-coding RNA from Mustela erminea (ermine), 713 nucleotides. RefSeq lists it as uncharacterized. The record is from RefSeq and is a predicted model, not a curated record. The transcript has 3 exons. Lineage: Eukaryota; Metazoa; Chordata; Mammalia; Carnivora; Mustelidae.